AUUGAACGGUGGCGGCAGGCCUAACACAUGCAAGUCGAGCGGAUGAAGGGAGCUUGCUCCUGGAUUCAGCGGCGGACGGGUGAGUAAUGCCUAGGAAUCUGCCUGGUAGUGGGGGAUAACGUCCGGAAACGGGCGCUAAUACCGCAUACGUCCUGAGGGAGAAAGUGGGGGAUCUUCGGACCUCACGCUAUCAGAUGAGCCUAGGUCGGAUUAGCUAGUUGGUGGGGUAAAGGCCUACCAAGGCGACGAUCCGUAACUGGUCUGAGAGGAUGAUCAGUCACACUGGAACUGAGACACGGUCCAGACUCCUACGGGAGGCAGCAGUGGGGAAUAUUGGACAAUGGGCGAAAGCCUGAUCCAGCCAUGCCGCGUGUGUGAAGAAGGUCUUCGGAUUGUAAAGCACUUUAAGUUGGGAGGAAGGGCAGUAAGUUAAUACCUUGCUGUUUCGACGUUACCAACAGAAUAAGCACCGGCUAACUUCGU
Molecule: ribosomal RNA, 483 nt
Filed under: uncultured bacterium
Lineage: Bacteria
Description: partial 16S ribosomal RNA
Rfam family: Bacterial small subunit ribosomal RNA
Source: RNAcentral